RNAcentral lists this transfer RNA (57 nucleotides) under Acalypha ecklonii. Its description in RNAcentral is "partial tRNA-Leu". Lineage: Eukaryota; Viridiplantae; Streptophyta; Magnoliopsida; Malpighiales; Euphorbiaceae. The record is from RNAcentral.
GACUUAAAAAAUCCGUCNACUUUAGAAAUCGUGAGGGUUCAAGUCCCUCUAUCCCCN